Cyprinus carpio carpio is the source of this 1017-nucleotide long non-coding RNA. NCBI's taxonomy places the organism in Eukaryota, Metazoa, Chordata, Actinopteri, Cypriniformes, Cyprinidae. The record is from Ensembl.
GCAGGACUACUGGCGACGCGGUCACGGAAAAUAACAGCCAGACACAGACAAACGAGUCCCGCAAAGUGUAUUUUUAAGCUUAUGUUAGAGAGAUGGCUGACAGAGCAUCUUCGUCAUCUCUAACCGUCACUCCCGCCACAGAUCUGAAGCGAGUGCAAAGGCAGAGAGGGGCGGUGUGAUGUCAUUGGCAGCAAGAAGGCUGCAAUACUUAUAUGGGCCUGAAAUGAAGAACAAUAUCAGUCAUUCAAGCUAUGAUCCUGGCAGAUCUACUAUCUGAAAAAAGACUCAGCAGAUUUUUUUCAAGACACACAAGAAGCGCUGCAGGUGUGUGAUGUGAUUUGAAGACCAUGUGAAUCCUCAUGUUCUGUUGUUAGCGGCUUUUUGCACAUGUAAAAUUAAUACAAAUAUGGAGCGUGGAGAGACCGGACAGUUCCCACAGUGCUAGUUUUUCAGCACCCACACCCCACACACAAAUUCAUAUAGAAGUUUUCAAUAAUAAAAAGUUUAUAUGAUAGUUUAUAUUUAGCUAUGAAGUUAUAGUUCAUUGUCAUAAAUAUUAAACUAAAUAUUAAAGUCCCCCUGUAGUGAAAUCAAGUUUUUAUGCUGUUUAUUUGUCUUUGUGGUUUUUAAUAUUGCUACAUUACAAUCCAAUAACCAAUCACAUUAAAGAAUCAAUUCCUAUCAUUAGAAUGCAAAAUAUACCAAUACCAGCACAAGACUAAAAAUAAAUUAUAGGAAAAAAAAAAAAAAAACAUUAAGCUGUGGUUUAAUGUGAAUUUAGAUACAAUAUUUGACUACGGGGGACUAAAUUUUUUUUUACAUGAUAUGCAAUUUUCACCAGUCUGUUCAAUGUGUUAAUGAGAUUUUUGAAAGUGAUUAUCUUUAAUAAUUCAGAUACCUGUUGAAAUGCACAUGUAAUUAUAUGCUUGCUCGUAUCUUGAAUGUUGUGUUAAUAAACAUUAUGUUGAAAGAAUGUUGCAACAGUGCUAACCUGAAAAUAACAUUUUAUUAAGCUAC